UGGGGAAUAUUGCACAAUGGGGGAAACCCUGAUGCAGCGACGCCGCGUGAACGAAGAAGGUAUUCGUAUCGUAAAGUUCUGUCCUAUGGGAAGAUAAUGACAGUACCAUAGAAGAAAGCUCCGGCUAAAUACGUGCCAGCAGCCGCGGUAAUACGUAUGGAGCGAGCGUUGUCCGGAAUUAUUGGGCGUAAAGGGUACGCAGGCGGUUUAAUAAGUCGAAUGUUAAAGAUCGGGGCUCAACCCCGCAAAGCAUUGGAAACUGAUAAACUUGAGUAGUGGAGAGGAAAGUGGAAUUCCUAGUGUAGUGGUGAAAUACGUAGAUAUUAGGAGGAAUACCAGUAGCGAAGGCGACUUUCUGAACACAAACUGACGCUGAGGUACGAAAGCGUGGGGAGCAAACAGG
RNAcentral lists this ribosomal RNA (403 nucleotides) under bacterium. RNAcentral's name for it is "partial 16S ribosomal RNA". It matches the Rfam family "Bacterial small subunit ribosomal RNA", at positions 355 to 776 of the family's 1533-position model. The record is from RNAcentral.